This is a long non-coding RNA of Anguilla rostrata (American eel), 4693 nucleotides long. RefSeq lists it as uncharacterized. Lineage: Eukaryota; Metazoa; Chordata; Actinopteri; Anguilliformes; Anguillidae. The record is from RefSeq and is a predicted model, not a curated record. The transcript is spliced from 5 exons.
GGAAAAUGAAAGGUUAAUACGGAAUAGAGAAAAAUACCCCGCUCUGUCCCUAUCAGGAUUUUACUUGGACAGUUGCUUGGUAGAAAAAUCAUCAGUGAGCUCUGUGAUAGCUGGUCCCUCUGUAAUUUUUCAGAAGGCCUUGCCAGAGGGGCCUUGCUAGAUUCGGAUUUGAGCCGCGUUUUGAAGUGAUAGCAAACCUAACCAAUCAUGUUUUGGGUGGAUUCUUUUAUCGAUGGAAUUAUGACGAGUUCCGCCAGCAAGAAGUCCUAACCGCGUCAUCGGCGCGUAGUGGGGUGACGAUCCUGUGUCCGUCUCUGUUCUGAAUAUCAAUCGUAGCCAAGCUAGCAGUCAUUGCCAUUUUAUUACAAUGUCACCGAAGUACAUUAAGUCGUUGUUUCCUAAACGUGGGCGGCAUUUCGCUGUGGCAUGCUAGGCCAGCUGCAAUAUAUUUAAACAUUUCUCAGUGUUUUAAAUUAUCGUAUCGUCCGGCAAUCGACGCUGAGAAGUGGGCACCUGGUGUAGAUUAUGUUAGCCAGCUGUUGGUUUAUGGAGGAGAAAUGAAAACAGUCAUUUCAUUCUAUUCGAACAAUCAUUCGAUCGAUGCUUUCUUUACGAAAAGGGAGGAAAGUGAUUCAGCUGGCCUGCCCUAUAGCCAGUGUUCCUCAGUCGGGUAGUAUCAGUGCUGUUUCUGGUUUUCAAACGAAUUACGUUUAAAUGGCUAACAUUGAUCGAGGACCGCAGAGAAAAUUCUAAAGCCGGCAGUAGUGCUGCUAUCACUAGAUCGGUGUGGUGCCUCGCAGCUGGAGCAAUCAAGUCGCAGCCACAAUGCUAACCGCUCUGGCAGUGCAAGCUCCAUUUAAUGGAUGAUGCUAAUUGAUUACUUCUGGAUUAAAGACCCUCAAGAGCAUAAAAAAGAUAUGUCGACCGCUUCACUGAUUUCCUACGGAAUCACUUUCCCCAUCGCGGGUUGGGCCUACAGAGUGUAUGACGUUUUUGUGGGCCAGUUGGUCUAAGCUACUAGCUGGCGUCAUGGCGAGAAGUGUGUUGGUAUUACGUCCAGAUCGACGAAGAAAGCUGUUUUCAUUACACACAGGUUCUCACCAUACAGGCAGGGACACUAGCCAACUCUGAACUGAGGUCCACAGCAUUUAGACAGCCGGAGUUCCUUGGAUUAAAACUACAUUACCUCCUUUCGACAGCACAUCAGGCGCCCACAGCCUACCAGAAGCGAAAUGAUACUGCCCCAGACAGCAGUUACCGCAGAACAAUUUGAACGUUGUGAGGCACUGGGCCCUGCUGGAGACACAUCUCUCGGACCGUGGACUCGGUGAAUUUCCAUAUUCGAUUUCAGGAAUGUACACACAGCUAAGCAAGCUAAAAAAAAAAAAAAGGGCUGCAUUUAUAGGCAUUCAUCUGAUCAACAUUUAUAAUGGAGUGUAUGCCUGGACUGGUGGGGAGAAAGCAUAAUGGCAAGACCUCAGGGAGUAGCUUUGCAAGCUUCCAGAUUUUUACCACUAUAGUGCAUUCAGCAUGUGUCCAGUUGGGUAAUAUAAUCUGGCAAAAUGGCCUUCUUCCUGUGGCUGGGUUUAUUCAUUUAUUUAGAAUCUAUAGAUAAGUCUAAUUUAAUUAUCCAGAGGCAAUAAAUCUAGGCAGACCUGGAGCCAAACAUCCAGGAUCAAUCACACCUGGGACCAAUGGAAGCAAAUUACUUUUUUAAUGCCUUGAAAAACAGCAGUAAUGGAAAAUGAUAUUUCACUGUGAGGAAUAGUGGCUUUAGAAAUGGUAGAGGGCCAGGAGCCAUGAUUUAUCUCCUCAGAUGAGUCAAUAACAAAAUAAAUAUUGGAUUAUGAAAGCCUUUAAAAAAUGAAAAAAAGGAUGCUAUUGCUCCUUAUUUAUCUGCAUCUCUCAGACUGUCAAAAGUAACAUGCGUCAAGUGUCAGGACUGUAAGGAUUGUGAACAUGAAUUUCCUCUCACAGACACAAUGAAGGCUGUGUUCUUGAGGAGACAGGAAGUGAAGAGUUAACCAUAAAUAUAGGGCUGUAAAUUGAUUCUCAGUUUAUGGAAGUAGAGUAUAGCACUUCACAUCCCUGUCAUACUGUUGUAGUGGUCAGAGGAUGGCAUAGACUGUAAACCAGAGAAAUUUUACAAACAGGACUGCUGUGUUUGAAUUACGGGACAGAACACUGGUUUACAUUUCUUUCCUGCCGUAAAACUUCCACCUCAGUGCCCGGACAGCAGAUGCUGCAUGAUUUACUACAUUCAACAAUCACUUACGAUAUCAGACAGAUUACAGUUCAUGCUCGGCGCAUUAGAUUUAAUAUUGAGUAAUGAAAAUAUACAACUGAACGAAGUCUCUUACAAACUGAUACAAGGGUGACAAGAGGGCACUCGUUGAGAAAAGGCAUGGCUGAAAGGAGUAGAAGAAUCAAGUUUUGCUAGCAUCCGCAGAUAAGUACUAUAUGAGUCUUCAAUUAAAAAGCCUUUAAUAUUUUGGAGGUUACGUACUUUAACAGUUGGGACCAAUCAUGUGUGUCCAACAACUAAUGCAGAGGGAAAACUGCAAAGAAAACUGCUGGGAGUCUGUGGUUGGAUCUACAACCACACUGCAAUCACUGCCUCUUCAGCCACUGCACAGGUAACUGAAAGAUGGCUUCCUGGAUGCUCAUGUCUGUGGUUUCUGAGGAAGUUUGUUAAGCAGUGUGAAACAGUGGUUACAUUUUAAUGACAGGGUUGAAGCUUCACAUCCUGGGCAGUGCAUUGCAGUUCUAAACUGUAAACACUCAUAACCAUGCAGUGUAAAAAAUUUCAAAUUAAGGAGGCUAAUUUAUGGAAUUAUAUAUUUAUAUAGCAGAUUUAUUUUAGACCAUUUUAAUUAUGCAAUCAUGUAGAUGAUUUCCUUUAGGCCUUCACAAUAUAAAUGAUUAACUGUUUUAAGCAAUUAUUUUAAAUUAAUUUUAAGCAAUAUUAUAUCAAUAACUUUGCUAGGGCCAACACUGACAGUGCUGAAGUGCUUAAAUUCAGGUAAAAAUAUCUGUUAAAUUCUAGCUAUUUACAUUCUAUUGUAAUUUUCUAUGGAAUUUCCAUUGUGAUUAAACAUUGACAUGUAAACAAAACACCAUACUUACAGGCUACUACUACCCAUUCCUUCUACUGCAGCAAAGAGCAAAGAUCCUUCAUGACUGAAUGGCUUCUUUAAUUUCAACAAGCAGCAAACUCUUUUAAACUCUUUUUAAAGUCUCCUCAUUAGAAAUACAAACAUGGUUAUAGCACAGCUUUUGAUUUUAGAACUGCACGACUUUCCCUGCUCACCCAUCCCAAUAGCACUACAUUCAGAGUUCCGACACAUUUUGGUUACAGUACACUUAGAAACAGUGAAAGACUUUUUAAACUGGUUGGUAUUGUGAAAGAAAGUAUCGUUGUUUUGCUCCUUGUUUAUGCAGCCAGUAAGAUUCGACAUGUCAAUAUGGAACUUGUUUUUAGAAGUUAUUUUUAUCCUUGAUUAACUUUUAAUUCUGCAAUAGUCUGUUUUUUAGGAUUGGCUUUGGUGUUUGGAAGAUUGAUUAGAAAGCAUGUUUUGCUAAAAUGGACAUGUAGUUGUCAGCUGCAUGGUAUCUAUUAGACUCAUGUUACCCAGAAAUUAGUUAGCAGAUCUUACAAUUGCUGUAACACAUAAUAUGUCCAGUUUGGUUGCAAGUAGUAGCCUAGAACUACUCUUUUAUUUUGUUUGGUUUGGCCUACUAAUGGGCUCUGUACAACUUAUUGCAAGAAACUUUAUGAAAAAGGUAUGGUUUAUGUUUUGGCCUGGUGCAAGUGUUGUAAAAUGAUUAUUUUCCCUUAUGAUGUUUUGAUGUCUCAUCAUGUCAUACUCUGAAUUAUGGUAUUAACAAUUAAUUGACUUAUAAUCAUCGGUAAUUAUCGGUUAUUGGCCAUGACAGAGAAAUGAUUAUCAGCCAAGGCCCAAACCAUAACACCCCCAUUACCAUGUUUCACUGAGGGGGUGCUUUGGAUCUCCACACUUUGCUCUUGCCCAUCACUCUGAUACAAGUCAAUAUUGGUCUCUUCUGUCAGAACUCUACAGACUCUCCUAGAUACUUGUUAAGCAGACUGUAACCUGGCCAUCCUGUUUCUGUGGCUAACUAGUGGUUUGCAUCUAGUAGUGAAGUCUUCUUCAAACAGUAGUUACUGACACAUCCACACCAGCCUCCUGAAGAGUGUUUCUAAUCUGUUGUACAGGGGUUUGGGUUUCUUUCUUCAUUAGGGUGAGAAUUAUUUGUUCAUCAACUAUAGAGGUCUUUCUUAGCCUACUAGGCCCUUUGCAAUUACUGUGCUCACCAGUGUUCUCUUUCUUCUUAAUGAUGUUCUAAACAGGUUAUUUUGGUAAGCCUAAGGGUUGGCCUAUGUCUCUAACUUUUUUUUUCUUCUUAUUUCUCAACCUCUUAAUGGCUUUCAGUAGCACAGCUGUGGUCCUCAUAUUGCCUGGAAUCAAGACUAGAUGGUAAAAGCUCUCUUGUAAGUGCACUAAGGAGGCAAUUGAACACACCUGACUAAUCAGGAACACCCAUGAAGCCAUUUUUCCCAAACAUUAUGGUGCCCUGAAAUGGGGGACUAUAUAUAUAAAAACUGCUGUAAUUUCAACAUGACGAAACCAGACUGUGUAAAAAUACCCUGUAAUAAAAAGAAUCUGCACUUUAA